This is a long non-coding RNA of Lolium rigidum, 505 nucleotides long. RefSeq lists it as uncharacterized. The transcript is spliced from 2 exons. The record is from RefSeq and is a predicted model, not a curated record. NCBI's taxonomy places the organism in Eukaryota, Viridiplantae, Streptophyta, Magnoliopsida, Poales, Poaceae.
ACACGCCAGCUAAUAGAUCCAAACAUGUACUGGUUUUCUAUUCCAAGUAUUGGUCCAAUCUUGAAAGGACUAUCCCAGGGGAGGAAGGAAGUUCUUUCAUUACUGAACCGUCGGAAGUACAAGGAGAUGCUAGUGUCUUCACUGGAGAAGACGAGGUUGAGGUCAUCGCCUCUAGACGUGCGGUUCCACCUCCGCGAUCUUAUCGGGUCUGGUCACAUAAAGACGGUUCAGACACCCACCGGCUUACUUGCUCGUGUAUCAACAGAUUGAUAAUCAAACAGUUUCGGAUCAAUUAUUCUUAGUUUCUCUUCCUUGCUGGGUACUACCCAGAUUCUGUGCUUCUGAUUAUGUUUUAUGUUAUGGCGAUUUUGGCUUCUUUUGACGUCAGGAGUACUUGGAGCUAUCUUAUUGGUUCCUUCUUUUUUUCUUUUUCUGUGAGAGGUAUUCUUGAUCUGAUUAAUGUGCCUAAGUUUGAAAUUAAGGAGCUGAAGUUGGUGUGCGUGCA